This 433-nucleotide RNase P RNA is filed under the name Eubacteriales Family XIII. Incertae Sedis bacterium. RNAcentral describes it as "RNase P RNA component class A". It matches the Rfam family "Bacterial RNase P class A". From Rfam's summary of the family: Ribonuclease P (RNase P) is a ubiquitous endoribonuclease, found in archaea, bacteria and eukarya as well as chloroplasts and mitochondria. Its best characterised activity is the generation of mature 5'-ends of tRNAs by cleaving the 5'-leader elements of precursor-tRNAs. Lineage: Bacteria; Bacillati; Bacillota; Clostridia; Peptostreptococcales; Anaerovoracaceae. The record is from RNAcentral.
UGAGCAAGUCGGACGGUCGCGUGAGGAUUCCUCAUGAGGAAAGUCCGGACUCCGUAGGGCAAGGGUGCCGGAUAACGUCCGGUGAAGGUGACUUUAAGGAAAGUGCAACAGAAACACACCGCCGAAACAGGGGCUUGUCUUGUUUGGAUCGGUAAGCCCAAUCCGUCCAAAAAAGACAAGCCCGCUGUGGUAAGGGUGAAAUGGUGAGGUAAGAGCCCACCGGGGGCAUGGAGACAUGUCCGCCGUGUAAACCCCACCCGGUGCAAGGCCAAGCAGAGCGAAAGUCCGCGUAUGCGGAUGGUGGCGGCCCGUCACCGCUCGGAAUGGUAGGCCGCAGGCGGAUACCGUUCGGUAUCCCGGAGGGCGGCGGCAACGUCGCUCCCAGAUAGAUGACCGUCUUUAACAGAAUCCGGCUUAUUGACUUGCUCAACAU